Long non-coding RNA from Rhinichthys klamathensis goyatoka, 312 nucleotides. RefSeq lists it as uncharacterized. The record is from RefSeq and is a predicted model, not a curated record. The transcript has 3 exons. NCBI's taxonomy places the organism in Eukaryota, Metazoa, Chordata, Actinopteri, Cypriniformes, Leuciscidae.
UUGGAAGGAAAGCUGAAUGGCCAACAAGCAGCCAAGAAGUGGGAGAAUCUGAAGAGAAAAUAUAAGGACCUAAAAACACCUAAAACUGGUUCAGGGACAGAUGCAGGAGAGGCAACAGCUGCUACGUGGCAGUACUAUGAGGAUAUGCACGAGGUGCUGGGUGCCAGGCCUUCAGUGGACCUGUGGUUGUUGCAUCAUUCAAUGAUGAGGAUCCAGUAACAAUCCUCAUGGAGAUUGUUGAGCCCAGUACUGCAUCCAACACCAUAGGAGCCUCCUCACCUUUGCCAAAUACAGGAGCCACAGCCUCUCCCA